This 495-nucleotide ribosomal RNA is filed under the name uncultured bacterium. RNAcentral describes it as "partial 16S ribosomal RNA". It matches the Rfam family "Bacterial small subunit ribosomal RNA", at positions 28 to 523 of the family's 1533-position model. The record is from RNAcentral.
GAUGAACGCUGGCGGCGUGCUUAACACAUGCAAGUCGAACGAAGCGCUUAAGAUUGAUUCUUCGGAUGAUUUCUUUUGCGACUUAGUGGCGGACGGGUGAGUAACGCGUGGGUAACCUGCCUCACACAGGGGGAUAACAGUUAGAAAUGACUGCUAAUACCGCAUAACCCGAUAGGAUCGCAUGAUCCAGACGGAAAAGAUUUAUCGGUGUGAGAUGGACCCGCGUCUGAUUAGCUAGUUGGGGAGGUAACGGCCCACUAAGGCGACGAUCAGGAGCCGGCCUGAGAGGGUGAACGGCCACAUUGGGACUGAGACACGGCCCAAACUCCUACGGGAGGCAGCAGUGGGGAAUAUUGCACAAUGGGGGAAACCCUGGUGCAGCGACGCCGCGUGAGUGAAGAAGUAUUUCGGUAUGUAAAGCUCUAUCAGCAGGGAAGAAAAUGACGGUACCUGACUAAGAAGCCCCGGCUAAAUACGUGCCAGCAGCCGCCGCGG